This 1279-nucleotide ribosomal RNA is filed under the name Enterococcus sp. Its description in RNAcentral is "bacterial SSU rRNA". It matches the Rfam family "Bacterial small subunit ribosomal RNA", at positions 132 to 1398 of the family's 1533-position model. The record is from RNAcentral. Lineage: Bacteria; Bacillati; Bacillota; Bacilli; Lactobacillales; Enterococcaceae.
AUCAGAAGGGGAUAACACUUGGAAACAGGUGCUAAUACCGUAUAACAAUCGAAACCGCAUGGUUUUGAUUUGAAAGGCGCUUUCGGGUGUCGCUGAUGGAUGGACCCGCGGUGCAUUAGCUAGUUGGUGAGGUAACGGCUCACCAAGGCUACGAUGCAUAGCCGACCUGAGAGGGUGAUCGGCCACAUUGGGACUGAGACACGGCCCAAACUCCUACGGGAGGCAGCAGUAGGGAAUCUUCGGCAAUGGACGAAAGUCUGACCGAGCAACGCCGCGUGAGUGAAGAAGGUUUUCGGAUCGUAAAACUCUGUUGUUAGAGAAGAACAAGGAUGAGAGUAACUGUUCAUCCCUUGACGGUAUCUAACCAGAAAGCCACGGCUAACUACGUGCCAGCAGCCGCGGUAAUACGUAGGUGGCAAGCGUUGUCCGGAUUUAUUGGGCGUAAAGCGAGCGCAGGCGGUUUCUUAAGUCUGAUGUGAAAGCCCCCGGCUCAACCGGGGAGGGUCAUUGGAAACUGGGAGACUUGAGUGCAGAAGAGGAGAGUGGAAUUCCAUGUGUAGCGGUGAAAUGCGUAGAUAUAUGGAGGAACACCAGUGGCGAAGGCGGCUCUCUGGUCUGUAACUGACGCUGAGGCUCGAAAGCGUGGGGAGCAAACAGGAUUAGAUACCCUGGUAGUCCACGCCGUAAACGAUGAGUGCUAAGUGUUGGAGGGUUUCCGCCCUUCAGUGCUGCAGCUAACGCAUUAAGCACUCCGCCUGGGGAGUACGACCGCAAGGUUGAAACUCAAAGGAAUUGACGGGGGCCCGCACAAGCGGUGGAGCAUGUGGUUUAAUUCGAAGCAACGCGAAGAACCUUACCAGGUCUUGACAUCCUUUGACCACUCUAGAGAUAGAGCUUCCCCUUCGGGGGCAAAGUGACAGGUGGUGCAUGGUUGUCGUCAGCUCGUGUCGUGAGAUGUUGGGUUAAGUCCCGCAACGAGCGCAACCCUUAUUGUUAGUUGCCAUCAUUCAGUUGGGCACUCUAGCAAGACUGCCGGUGACAAACCGGAGGAAGGUGGGGAUGACGUCAAAUCAUCAUGCCCCUUAUGACCUGGGCUACACACGUGCUACAAUGGGAAGUACAACGAGUCGCGAAGUCGCGAGGCUAAGCUAAUCUCUUAAAGCUUCUCUCAGUUCGGAUUGUAGGCUGCAACUCGCCUACAUGAAGCCGGAAUCGCUAGUAAUCGCGGAUCAGCACGCCGCGGUGAAUACGUUCCCGGGCCUUGUACACACCGCCCGUC